This is a long non-coding RNA of Apis mellifera (honey bee), 564 nucleotides long. RefSeq lists it as uncharacterized. The record is from RefSeq and is a predicted model, not a curated record. The transcript has 4 exons. NCBI's taxonomy places the organism in Eukaryota, Metazoa, Arthropoda, Insecta, Hymenoptera, Apidae.
UCAAACUGCGCAGUAUUGAGUUGUUCUAUCGUAAUAUUUUGUUUCAUCGCUAUUCAACGAAAGUUUAUGAAAAACUAUAGGCAAUUUUGCAGAUAUUGGAUAAAUUUUAUAUAUUUGACAGAUAUUUACGAUUGCCGUUGAAUGUUCAUCAAUCAAUUUAUUGUGGCUGAAGAUAUUUAUUCAUCAAAAAGUAAAUAAGAACUAAUAAUAAGAAACAUUGACCGCCGUUAAGAAGUUUAUCCACGAACUUAUGAUUAGUACUCACCAUUACCGAUUUCUUGUCACUAUGAUGAAGAUUGCCACGAAUGGAAAAAGUUAUAACGUUUUUCUUGAACAUAAAAUGUGUAAAGAGAAUAAAAAAUGGUAUUCAGGUAUCGGAGUGUAGCAGAAUGAUAAAACAUAGAAGGAGAGAAUAGAAACAAGAUUGGAAUGGGAAUGGAAUCUGGAUAGAGGCGCGCAUGCGUCGACCCCGUUCAUUCACUCCUCCAAAUCAUUCAUAAAUCGCGGAAUCCUACGCUUGUAAUCUUCGCACUUCUCGCAAUUAAUGAUAAAACAAUGCAUAUU